This 308-nucleotide long non-coding RNA is filed under the name Musa acuminata (dwarf banana). RNAcentral describes it as "long non-coding RNA (MACU_LNC005885)". The record is from RNAcentral. Lineage: Eukaryota; Viridiplantae; Streptophyta; Magnoliopsida; Zingiberales; Musaceae.
GUCUCCGGUCCAGCAGGAGGAGGAAGAACCGGAUCAACCGCCAGGCAACCAUGUUAAGCAACUGGCUGAUGCUAUUUCCAAGGUUUCAACUGAAUCUGAUUCUGUUGAUAUUAGCCUGGUUCAUCAUCAUCGCCUGUGCUCAAUGCGGAUGUGACUGUCACCGGGUUCGCAGGAGAAGGUAUUCCCUUUUUCUGGAGACGCCUUCGUUAGUGAAUGAAGGUGUCUGUCCUGAUACCGUAUAUGAGGGAUCGGAUCCGGUUGGACUAGUCAACGCUACCAAAUUGGUCUCUGACCGCCGGAGAAAUGGG